This 492-nucleotide ribosomal RNA is filed under the name uncultured bacterium. Its description in RNAcentral is "partial 16S ribosomal RNA". It matches the Rfam family "Bacterial small subunit ribosomal RNA", at positions 29 to 507 of the family's 1533-position model. The record is from RNAcentral.
AGUGAACGCUGGCGGUAGGCCUAACACAUGCAAGUCGAACGGCAGCACAGUAAGAGCUUGCUCUUACGGGUGGCGAGUGGCGGACGGGUGAGGAAUACAUCGGAAUCUACUUUUUCGUGGGGGAUAACGUAGGGAAACUUACGCUAAUACCGCAUACGACCUACGGGUGAAAGCAGGGGAUCUUCGGACCUUGCGCGAUUGAAUGAGCCGAUGUCGGAUUAGCUAGUUGGCGGGGUAAAGGCCCACCAAGGCGACGAUCCGUAGCUGGUCUGAGAGGAUGAUCGGCCACACUAGAACUGAGACACGGUCCAGACUCCUACGGGAGGCAGCAGUGGGGAAUAUUAGACAAUGGGCGCAAGCCUGAUCCAGCCAUACCGCGUGGGUGAAGAAGGCCUUCGGGUUGUAAAGCUCUUUUGUUGGGAAAGAAAAGCAGCAGGUUAAUACCCCGCUGUUCUGACGGUACCCAAAGAAUAAGCACCGGCUAACUUCGUG